RNAcentral lists this small nuclear RNA (125 nucleotides) under Saimiri boliviensis boliviensis (Bolivian squirrel monkey). RNAcentral's name for it is "U4 spliceosomal RNA (ENSSBOG00000015061.1)". It matches the Rfam family "U4 spliceosomal RNA". From Rfam's summary of the family: U4 small nuclear RNA (U4 snRNA) is a component of the major U2-dependent spliceosome. The structure of U4 snRNA from yeast and human has been reported. Lineage: Eukaryota; Metazoa; Chordata; Mammalia; Primates; Cebidae. The record is from Rfam by way of RNAcentral.
UACUUUGUGCAGUGGCAGUAUCGUAGCCAGUGAGGUUUAUCCGAGGUGGGAGUAUUGCUAACUGAACACUUCUCCCAAGACAGCCUUCUUAUCUGUGUGGCGAUCAUCUCAAAACAAAAUCUUGA